CAAUGAAGUGACAAAGAAAAAUACAUUUAGGAAUUCUGUUUUGCAUCAUAAUAACAAGUAUGUAACCGUGACACACAAUAACAUAAGAACACAAGAUAUUCAGCUGACAGUGUUUGUUUAUUCAACAAGGCACAAUGAGCCACAUGAAGUAAGAAAGCUCCAACUAGAGGUGAUGAUACAUCACAACAACAACUUGUAGAUUUCUACAAGACACACUGUACUCAGAGAGAGUAAAGGAACAACUGUCUUUAUAAAAGACAAACGAUUUAAUAUAUUUGAGGACACAGUACUCACUGUCCUUUGAGAGUUUCCUCACAAAAGAAUUAAAACAUUUGCACUUUGCAAACAAAAUGAAAAACGUGUAAAAACUGAUCUUAAAACAGAUCACAUUAUUAUUAUAACCAUUAAAUUCAACUGAUUCUCAAAAUGUAAAUAUGACCUUGUCACUGGAAAACUGUGACAGUGUGACAUCAAACAAACCUUUAACACUAAAAGGAUAAACAUAUUGAUCUUAAAACAGAUCAUUGUUCAAUAAUCACAUAAAGUGAGAGAAAGUCCAUUAAGACAAAAUGUCCAUAAAAAGGACAAUUCAGAUUCUUGAUCUAAAUGAUCAUUAGUAAUCAAGAGGUAACAAAUAUCACCAAUUCAGUAUGUUUUAGUAAUAUGGAACAUGCAGUGAAUUAUAAAAGUAUCACAGGAAAAUUGUGACAUUAAUUAAACCUUUUAGGAAAAAAGGAUAAACAUUUAGAUCUUAUAACAGAUCAGUUUUAAGUGAUCACACAUUAAUGUGACUUAAUGUCCAUUAUGACAAUAUGUCCUUAAAAAGGACAGUUCAAGUUUCUGAUCAGUACGAUCAAUAACAAUCAAAAGAUAAUAUACUACCAAUACAUGAAGUACAGUGAGGUAUAAUAAUAAUUGCUGAUGCAAUCAGAUAUGUUCAUGCAACAUGCAUGACAAGAUGUUCUCUUUCUUAACAUGAAAGAUAUUGUU
Long non-coding RNA from Dicentrarchus labrax (European seabass), 990 nucleotides. RefSeq lists it as uncharacterized. The record is from RefSeq and is a predicted model, not a curated record. Lineage: Eukaryota; Metazoa; Chordata; Actinopteri; Moronidae. The transcript is spliced from 3 exons.